Molecule: long non-coding RNA, 2031 nt
Organism: Balaenoptera acutorostrata (minke whale)
Lineage: Eukaryota; Metazoa; Chordata; Mammalia; Artiodactyla; Balaenopteridae
Exons: 2
Source: RefSeq, a predicted model, not a curated record
CGCGCGCUCUUCGCUCCGCGCCAGCCCGGGGUAACGAUUGAAGGUCGCGGCUUAACACUCAACGAUAAAAAGGAUGAACUAUCGAUGCACCCAGCAGCCUGUGCGAGUCUGCAGAGAAUUAUGCUGAAGGAAAAAUGCCGAUCCCAAAAUGCACUUUCUGGCUUGUAACACCUCAUUUGGUAGCCCACCUGCCACUGCGAGCCACCCGAGGACCCUCCCCAAACGCUCUGCCUUGAUUUCUGGUGUCCUGGGAUGGCCCUAUAGAGCAGAAGGGAGGUUUUCCCCGCUUGUGUAAAGUUCCUAAUGAAAAUAACUGCAGCUGCUGUUUGCACACCAGCGUCAGGCGGUGGUCUGUCUGCGGCUGAUGUUUUCCUUGGGUUCAGAAGUGAGGACAUGGCCUCGCUGUGGCAUGCUCUCGUGCCAGCAGGAGACACAGGCCACCUUGUCCUGUGAGCCCAGGGGGUCCUGGGGGACGUUUUCAUUUUAGCAUGACCUUUAUACGAGGGAAACGUUGUAGAGGCAUUUCCGAAUGUAUUAGAAUGUCCUCAAAGGUGAAAUUCGGUUGUUCUCCCCCCUUUCUUGUGAGACUCACUGAGAUGACGUCCUCAUAUCAUCUUUGUGUCACAGAAAGUAAAUGAGUGCAACUAAGAAAGGUAGGUGUAGGCGCUCUGAAAUAACUGAAGGCAGGCUUCCUUACAGGGAGGGCGAGUGACGCUGUCGUCCCGCGGGAGGGGUGUGUGCACGUCUUUUGUGCUACGAGGACCUAUAAGGAAAACAGCCAGACCUCCGGGUGGUGUGGAUCCCGUGGGAGGACUCGGUAACUGCGGAGCAGCAGGUGCUGGAACCAGCCCGGGAGCCGUCCAGUCCUUGGUGUGGGAAUGAAAUUGCUGAGCUCUAAGAGAGACCAAGAUGCGACAUCGCCUCUGAAAACCAGCAGGUGCAGGGAACACCUGGGGCCGCGCUUUGGUUCAAGUCCGCCACGCGACAGCACCAUCUUGUGGCCGCGCGAGGAAUCACAGGUGUGGAUGGAGCGUUGCCGGUGGGGAAGGGCAGCUGGCCGGCCCUCCUUCCCUUGGCCUUCAGGAUGGUGGAAGCGCCAGUGAUUGAUUCAGUAGGAGCCCGUCCGGCAAAGGGAAAUAACAGAACUCCCUGCUAAUCUGGCAUUUACUGCAAACAAAUACGAUGGAACCGCAUUUGUAUCCUGAGUCCAAGGAGGAGGUGGUGCUCUUAAAACGAGAUAAAUAGAUUUAGCAUCAGCUUAAUAAGCAUCGCCUCUAGGGGCUCCCCUUGCUGUGAACAAAUGCAGGCACAGGCUUAGGCAUCCCAGGCAAGGGGGCAGUUAAGCCAGCUGUAUACUUCCUCUUCUCCCCAACUCCCCGUUUGUGUUUCAGAUGAAAGUUAACAUCGAGGGCUACCUUAAGACUAAUCAAAGUAGCCUGAACUUUCUCCUAGAGAAGUAGUUACUUUUGGUUUUAUUUAAUGACUUUUCUUUCUGCUAACAGCAUCCCCUUUCUUUUUGGAAACAAACUCUUCCCAAUAACAUAGUUAUUUUUUUUAUUGUAGUAAAAUCUGUAUAACAUAAGAUUUGCCAUUUCAACCAUUUUAAGUACACAAUUCCGUGGCAUUAAUUACAUUCACAAUGUUAUGCAACAUCACUAUUUGUAUUUCCAAAAAUUCUUCAUCACCCCAAAUAGAAACUCAGUAAUCAUUAAGCAGUAACUCCCCCCUCCACCCAGGUCCUGGUAACAUAUAAUCUUCUUUCUGUCUCCAUGAAUUCGCCUAUUCUAGAUAUUUCGUACAAGUGGAAUCAUACAAUAGGUGGCCUUUUGUGUGUGGCUUACUUCACUCAGCAAAAUGUUUUCAAGGUUCAUCCAUAUCGUAACAUGUAUCAGAGCUUCAUUCCUUUCUAUGGCUGAAUACAAUUCCAUUUUAUGAAUAUACCACAUUUUGUUUAUCCUUUCAUAUGUUGAUGGACACUUGGGUCAUUUGGCUAUUGCGAAUAAUGCUGCAAUAAAUAUUGGUGCACAAGUA